Molecule: ribosomal RNA, 499 nt
Filed under: uncultured bacterium
Lineage: Bacteria
Description: partial 16S ribosomal RNA
Rfam family: Bacterial small subunit ribosomal RNA
Source: RNAcentral
GAUGAACGCUGGCGGCGUGCCUAAUACAUGCAAGUCGAGCGAACAGACGAGAGUGCUUGCACUCUCUGACGUUAGCGGCGGACGGGUGAGUAACACGUGGGUAACCUACCUAUAAGACUGGGAUAACUUCGGGAAACCGGAGCUAAUACCGGAUAAUAUUUAGCUUCGCAUGAAGCAAUAGUGAAAGACGGUUCUGCUGUCACUUAUGGAUGGACCCGCGGUGUAUUAGCUAGUUGGUGAGGUAACGGCUCACCAAGGCAACGAUACAUAGCCGACCUGAGAGGGUGAUCGGCCACACUGGGACUGAGACACGGCCCAGACUCCUACGGGAGGCAGCAGUAGGGAAUCUUCCGCAAUGGACGAAAGUCUGACGGAGCAAUGCCGCGUGAGUGAAGAAGGUUUUCGGAUCGUAAAACUCUGUUGUAAGGGAAGAACAAGUACGUUAGUAACUGAACGUACCUUGACGGUACCUUACCAGAAAGCCACGGCUAACUACGUG